Molecule: long non-coding RNA, 221 nt
Filed under: Homo sapiens (human)
Lineage: Eukaryota; Metazoa; Chordata; Mammalia; Primates; Hominidae
Description: LNC_000490
Source: RNAcentral
CUGUCAGUACGAUCCUGAGUGUCUUCACCACUUACAGCACUUAGGAGAACACUCUCAGGAGUUUGAAUAUUAUCUAGAUCCUCUAUAUCUAAGACCAUCUGCUGAGAUUCUUCUUUAGCAGCUUCAGUUUUUUCCUCUGCCAUUUUCAAAUAUGCCCUAACAACAUCCUCCAGAGAUUUUAUGUUCACCUGUUGACAAAUGUUCUUAUACUGGUAUAACCC